Molecule: long non-coding RNA, 1706 nt
Filed under: Helianthus annuus (common sunflower)
Lineage: Eukaryota; Viridiplantae; Streptophyta; Magnoliopsida; Asterales; Asteraceae
Description: hypothetical non coding rna
Source: RNAcentral
GAAACUUCCUCUUCAAUUUGGAAACCUAAUAAAUUCUCUCAAUUAAUUAGUUGAAAUCAUUCUCCAAUUUGCCAAAUUGAUUUCUCUUCACAUUCACACGGCUUCUCAAAACAUCACACAUUCAAUUUUACAAACCCUAAAUCUCAUCUACGGCUUCAUCUCUAGCAGCGAUUGUUCCUGGCCCUAGAAAUCCCUAAAUCUCAAGCAUUCAAACUCUCAUCUAGAUAUAGAGUUGUCGAAUCGGUUUUGAUUUUGUCGCUCAAUCGAACAAGGUUCAAUCAAAUAUUAUGAUUAUGAAGACGAAAACAAAGAAGAUUAUGAAGUGGAAGGAGUCAACAAGUUGAUUUCGUCAGAGAAAAUGUAACAAGGUGUUUAUUGAUGUUUAUUCUAGACUUCAUUUUGAAGAUCUGACGAAGAGCAUUGGAAACUGAAUGCCAACAAUUUGAAGUUUACUCCAUGUUCAGUAUUCACUUUUUAUACUUUUUAAUCAUAUGAACAAUUUGAAGAUCUUGACUGGUGGUGUUCUAAAAGAAGACGAACUAGGGUUCUGCCAUUUCGGUACUGGUAGGAACAAAUCCGAAUUCAUACAAAUCGGGGACUAACUGGCAGUAGAAAAGGUUCUUGCUGGAGCCUUAAGGCGAGAUAUGGCUUUGAAAGGUUCUUACAAGUGUAUGUUCUUGGGUCAAUCCGACCAAAAUUUGCUAAACUCAAUUGGGACAUACACUUUGGUGGUAAGUAUACUGUGAGGAUUUUAGUGAUCACAGUGGAUGCGGAUGCCCUUGCUUAAAUCUUUAAUUCUUGAUAACUGUGAGACGAUGAGGCCGACAUGCUUAAGCACUAUUUAGCCAACAAAGCUUCUCAUGUUCUUCAUCAAAAGGUAAAAAGCAAUGGGAAUUGAAUUCAACCUUCUCAUCGAUUAAGGUGCUAGGGAUUUGAUUUCAUGUUUUUAGGGCUUCAUCGAAGUAUAUUCAAGAGAUGUUAAGAGGAAGUAUAUGAACUUCAAGAAGUUUGAUAUUGUUGAGGACUAUUCAAUUUAGUGCUAUAUAAAAUCAAAAUCAUUAUGGUGACAGGCAAGUAGGGAUAAGCUUGGUAUUGACCGGUACCGGUACCAAAUAUUCCGGUACCGAAAAUCUCCAAAAGUGGGUACCGGUACUGAAUAUACCCAAUACGGUUCAAUACCGGUAUUUGAGAGAAAAAACGGUACCGAAAAUGUCAAAAGUCGGUACUAAAUUGGUACCGAAAAUGUACUCGGUUUGGUAAAUUCGGUACCGAUAUCGGGUACCAUUUGCCCAUCCCUACGUUCAAGUGUAUUUUCAACUUUAUUUAUUUUAUUUGUUUAUUUUAUGAAAUUUUCAAUUUCCAAUGAUUCUUUUUUUAACAAUUUGCAGCCACCAAUAAAUGGGCUAAAAAGUUUAUGAAGAAUGGAGGAUUCCUGAGAGGAAUUUGCCUGAUAUGAUAUAUGUUAGGGUUUAAGAAGGGAGAAAGGAUCUUUUAAGAGUUGUGAUAAUAGGAGUAGAAGUGACUCCACAUCACGAUGGUUUUUUUUUCUUUGAUAUAUGUAUGUCUUCACAUAUCUCUUCUUUUUUCAGUUUUCAUCAAGUGGUUUAAUAUUAUUAAUAGGGUUGAUAAACUUUAAAACCACUGUAUACUUUCAUAUCUUUGUGGUAAAAAGUCUCUUUAUCCAAUUUUAGUAUACUAAAAGUUGU